Molecule: ribosomal RNA, 582 nt
Filed under: Triticum aestivum (bread wheat)
Lineage: Eukaryota; Viridiplantae; Streptophyta; Magnoliopsida; Poales; Poaceae
Description: partial small subunit ribosomal RNA
Source: RNAcentral
AUGAUUUAUUACUUCUCUGCUAAAUAUUUCCCUGCUCAUAAGAAACAAGCUGCAUUAAGGGAUAUAUAUAAUUUUGUGCAAAUUAAAGAAGAGAGUCUCCCACAAGCAUGGGGGAGGCUUCUCCAAUUACUUAAUGUUUUGCGUGAUUAUCCUCUUAAGAAAAAUGAAAUACUCGCUAUCUUUUAUAAUGGACUAACCGAUGCUUCCAGAGACCACCUGGAUAGUUGUGCUAGUUUUGUUUUCAGGGAAAGAACACCGGAUGAAGCUGAAAUUCUAUUGAAUAAUAUGUUGAAAAAUGAAAAUAAUUGGACACUUCCUGAGCCAGCUCUUGAGCCAACUCCUGAGCCUAUUCCUGAACCAACUCCGAAGAAAAGGGGUGUUCUAUAUCUCAGUCCUGAAGAUAUGCAAGAGGCAAAGAAAUCUAUGAAAGAAAAGGAUAUUAAAGCUAAAGAUGUUAAGAAUUUACCUCCUAUUGAAGAAAUACAUGGUAUUAAUUUACCGCCUGUUGAAGAAAUAUAUGGUUUUAAUCCAUCACCUAUUGAAGAAACACAUGGUAUUGAUAACCCGACACAGGUAGUAAAG